CCCAGAUCAAGUCAUCCCAGGACACAAUGUGCAUGCAGCAGCAAGACGGAGAUGAGCUACAGAGGAGAGUGCUGGGAGCUGGGAAAGACGUCCCGGGGGAAUCUGAUUUAGUUUGGUGGUCAAGGCCGGCUUCCCAGCAGAAGCAGCAGCUGAUCUGAGGGACGGAAGCUCCCAUGGAGAAGGCAGCCAGGCCCAGGGAGGGCCUGCUCCAGGGCACACAGGACACAACCACUGUCAACUACCGAGGUCCCCGCGCGCCAGGACACAGCCGGCUCGGCGUGGCCUCCAAGUGGGAGCUCGCUGCUUAUCUGUCAACUGAUUGGACGCUGUGAGGCUCAUUUUGCGAGACAACUCCCCUCCCCGCGGAAGGAGGAGCCCCUUGGAGUCGGCUGGGUAACGGGAAAAGUGCUUACUCCGGGAGGAAGGCGGGGCUAGCCGGAACCAGCUCUCGCUAAGAACCCGCAGACUCCCCCGGCGUGUCUGAACCCCGUUCUCCUCCGGGGAGCGCGAGGGGGUUGGAGGUACUUGG
This 529-nucleotide long non-coding RNA is filed under the name Heterocephalus glaber (naked mole-rat). RNAcentral describes it as "lncRNA (ENSHGLG00000025311.2)". Lineage: Eukaryota; Metazoa; Chordata; Mammalia; Rodentia; Bathyergidae. The record is from RNAcentral.